This 444-nucleotide long non-coding RNA is filed under the name Cricetulus griseus (Chinese hamster). Its description in RNAcentral is "lncRNA (ENSCGRG00000024681.1)". Lineage: Eukaryota; Metazoa; Chordata; Mammalia; Rodentia; Cricetidae. The record is from RNAcentral.
CUUUGUAAGACCUCCGUGGGUACUUGAUACCUGGCUCACUCACUCCUCUCUCACUCUGUGUUUCACCUAGAGCUGAGCAAUGUACAGUGCAUUGCUUCCUGUCCCUGCACUUUGACUGCUUCUUUUUCUUCUUGGGAUGCAAAUCACUUGACCAGCUUUUCCCUCCAGUAUUACUUCGGUGACAUACUGCAGCCCUCUGGCUAUGAAGACAGUGCCUCUUAAAAACUGAGUCAUAUUUUAACUGGCUGAAUUGGAUAGUUUGUUUGGAAUGUAUUUUGUGCCAUGCACUGUUUCUUUAAUGUUUUGUAAGUAAUAUAUUAUAAUGGUACUUGUAAUUCUUCACUCAUGCUACUUUUGCUGACAAUUAAAUUUUAAAUGUAAAUAAGUGUAUAUGGCUUUUAUUUUUUGUUCAGUUAUUUAUUCAAUAAACAUUCACUGGAAGCC